Molecule: ribosomal RNA, 1048 nt
Filed under: Halobacterium sp. ChM3
Lineage: Archaea; Methanobacteriati; Methanobacteriota; Halobacteria; Halobacteriales; Halobacteriaceae
Description: bacterial SSU rRNA
Rfam family: Archaeal small subunit ribosomal RNA
Source: RNAcentral
UGCUAGUUGUGCGGGUUUAGACCCGCAGCGGAAAGCUCAGUAACACGUGGCCAAACUACCCUGUGGAUGGGAACAAUCUCGGGAAACUGAGGCUAAUUCCCAAUAACGCUCCGCCCCUGGAACGGGCGGAGCUGGAAACGCUACGGCGCCACAGGAUGUGGCUGCGGUCGAUUAGGUAGACGGUGGGGUAACGGCCCACCGUGCCAAUAAUCGGUACGGGUUGUGAGAGCAAGAGCCCGGAGACGGAAUCUGAGACAAGAUUCCGGGCCCUACGGGGCGCAGCAGGCGCGAAACCUUUACACUGUACGCAAGUGCGAUAAGGGGACUCCGAGUGUGAAGGCAUAGAGCCUUCACUUUUGUACACCGUAAGGUGGUGUACGAAUAAGGGCUGGGCAAGACCGGUGCCAGCCGCCGCGGUAAUACCGGCAGCCCGAGUGAUGGCCGAUAUUAUUGGGCCUAAAGCGUCCGUAGCUGGCCGGACAAGUCCGUUGGGAAAUCUGUUCGCUUAACGAGCAGGCGUCCAGCGGAAACUGUUCGGCUUGGGACCGGAAGACCUGAGGGGUACGUCCGGGGUAGGAGUGAAAUCCCGUAAUCCUGGACGGACCACCGGUGGCGAAAGCGCCUCAGGAGGACGGAUCCGACAGUGAGGGACGAAAGCUAGGGUCUCGAACCGGAUUAGAUACCCGGGUAGUCCUAGCUGUAAACGAUGCCCGCUAGGUGUGGCGCAGGCUACGAGCCUGCGCUGUGCCGUAGGGAAGCCGAGAAGCGGGCCGCCUGGGAAGUACGUCUGCAAGGAUGAAACUUAAAGGAAUUGGCGGGGGAGCACUACAACCGGAGGAGCCUGCGGUUUAAUUGGACUCAACGCCGGACAUCUCACCAGCUCCGACAGUAGUAAUGACGGUCAGGUUGAUGACCUUACCCGACGCUACUGAGAGGAGGUGCAUGGCCGCCGUCAGCUCGUACCGUGAGGCGUCCUGUUAAGUCAGGCAACGAGCGAGACCCGCACUCCUAAUUGCCAGCAGUACCCUUUUGGGUAGCUGGGUACAUU